Molecule: unclassified non-coding RNA, 331 nt
Filed under: uncultured bacterium
Lineage: Bacteria
Description: contains 16S-23S intergenic spacer region
Source: RNAcentral
UCCGGUUUAGACCGGCGGUCUCCCUAGAGAUUUCAACUAAGGACAAGGGUUGCGCUCGUUGCGGGACUUAACCCAACACCUCACGGCACGAGCUGACGACAGCCAUGCAGCAUCUGUGCAUGCUCUCUUGCGAGUCCCUCAGGUUUCCCUUCAGUACCACAUGCAUGUCAAGCCGAGGUAAGGUUCUGCGCGUUGCAUCGAAUUAAUCCACAUGCUCCGCCGCUUGCGCGGGCCCCCGUCAAUUUCUUUGAGUUUUAACCUUGCGGCCGUACUCCCCAGGCGGGAUGCUUAAUGCGUUAGCUGCGCCACCAACGUUUACGGUAUGGACUAC